UGCUCCCUUGCAAUGGACAAACAGACACCUUGAUGGUGAUAUUUUUCUUAGAUCAGUAAGGGUCAGAGCAAUUGGCAGUCCUUUGUUCAUCCUUGCUUGAUGCCUGUCUUAGUGGACAAAACUGUUUUAUGCCUAGGACUCGUAA
Molecule: non-coding RNA, 145 nt
Organism: Mus musculus (house mouse)
Lineage: Eukaryota; Metazoa; Chordata; Mammalia; Rodentia; Muridae
Source: Rfam